This 34-nucleotide non-coding RNA is filed under the name unclassified sequences. RNAcentral describes it as "DUF805b RNA". It matches the Rfam family "DUF805b RNA". Rfam says of the family: Bacteroidetes, Chlorobi (1 example), Proteobacteria. Lineage (Flavobacteria) The record is from RNAcentral.
AUAGGAGAAGCUGAAAACCUUUAUAGAGUAGGCA